GGCGGAGUGGUGCAGUGGUUUGAGUGUUGGACUAGGACUCUGGAGAGCAAGGUUCGAAUCCUGGCACGGCCA
Molecule: non-coding RNA, 72 nt
Organism: Phrynosoma platyrhinos (Desert horned lizard)
Lineage: Eukaryota; Metazoa; Chordata; Lepidosauria; Squamata; Phrynosomatidae
Source: the annotation of a GenBank genome assembly